UAUUUUUUCAUAAAAAUGAAAAUAUAAAACUCCAGUGAUAUGGCUAGCACAGCAUGAACAAAUAAUGAUGAUAGGUGCCAAAUGUAUACAAUGAAAUAACAUGCAUGCAUUAAAUGUGUUCCCAUAGAAUGAUUAACAACCGAGAAGCAUGUGUAAGGGAAAAGGACACGGUUUUAAAAUGGAGAUUACACUGUAGUGUUAAUCGUUCCUGAUUCUGAGAAAUACACUCCAGGCACAGAGCAUUCCUCUUUCUUCUGUGAAGUUCACAUUCAGCAAGGCACGACCUUAAAUGAAAAAUCAACUAUGUGGGGCAGAACAAACUCCGAGAGCAUGGUGAAGACUUAGCAAGCAGCACUGACUGGAGAACGACUUAGCAGGUAUUGUAAGACUCUGGGAUCCCUGAGUGAACCACGUGGAGCUGGAAUCAAUGCAAAGCCUCUCCGUGACUUUGAACAUGAAAGUUGGAUUUUGACCUGGACCAGAUCAGCAGCUAGAUACCUGUACACACCAGCAGCCUUCAUGCCUCCCAGGAGGUCCACAGUAACCAAAGACACAGGUGAAAAUCUUGCUCAAAUACCCACAACUUAGACAACCAUGGGGUGACACAGG
Molecule: long non-coding RNA, 609 nt
Filed under: Mus spicilegus (steppe mouse)
Lineage: Eukaryota; Metazoa; Chordata; Mammalia; Rodentia; Muridae
Description: lncRNA (ENSMSIG00000020258.1)
Source: RNAcentral